ACCAAGAAAUCAAAAAAGAAAGGAUUUAAAUUCUCUCAACGGAUUAAUUUAUCCGUUGAGAGAGUCGGUGUGUUCCGGCGCAUGAUAUCUCUCCGCCAGUCCGCCGAUCUCUCCUUUUCUUAUUCUCUAUAUAUAUAUAUAGGGCCUGCCGUCUCUCUAAAACCCUCUUCUCAUAUUAUAUCACCGCCUCUCUCUCCCCCCCAAAACCCCUCGCUAAAUUGUACAUCAGAUCGUCUUCAAUUCCACAGCUUUAAAGGGGGCGCCAUCUCAACUAUUCUAAUCGGGUUUGUUCCGAGAAAGAUCUCAGAGAGAGGAAGAGGAGGAGGAAGGACUGCGAGAUACCCAGAAAGAAGAGAAUUUCAUUUUUCCGAGGCAUAUUUGAAAGAAUGGCUUCAAGACCCGUGGUUCAACAUCAAAAUAGAGGAGGUAUUACUUACACUCCUUAAAGAGGGUAAUUCUUGAUGAGGUAAAUGAUAAAACCCUUUCAGGGUUUAUAGUUGAUGAUCUAGGUGAUGAAACAUUUAAAGAUGGCUCUAAUGACGAUGAAGAUGAACAGUUUGAAUCUGAGUGCAAUCUGUGAUAAUGGUGGUGAGAUGAUUUGGUGCCUAGAAAGUCUUCUUCGCAGAAGAGAGCUACUGUGAAGCCAAUCAAGCCUGAACCUAAAGAAAAGGUGAAGGAAAAGAACAACCUCCGCAGAAGGGCAGCAGCUGAAGGUUCAUCUAGAAAGACUUAUACUGCAACUCUCACUGCUCGAAGAAGGGCUGCUUGUGGACUGAACAUUAAAUUACCAAAGGAGAAGAUUGAAGAUAUUGAUGCUGGAGAUGUGUACAAUGAGUUGGCAGUUGUGGAGUAUGCAGAAGACAUUUACAAGGAAGCUAAGUGCAAUAGAGUACAAGGUGCAUUCAUAUAACCGUAAUGGCUUAUGUGCAUUGGGUUUUAUGGAUGAUCCCUACCUGGUUCGAAGUGCAUUUUCACUGCUAAAUCAGGUCGUGGAUGAGUACCAAAUUUUUUUUUGUGACACAUGGAGAUCUGCUCAAUCUGAUAGUACUCAACAAUGGCCUUAUUUAUUUGAAGCUCUAAAUAAAUUUCAGGAUCCUGAGGAAGCUGACAAGCUGUUGAAAAUUCAGCGGGAGUUGGAUGAAACAAAAAUUUUUCUUGUAAGUAAUGUGCUGUAAUUUUAUUUUCUUUCUCAUUUACAAUCUAUGCCUAGUUGAUCUGUAAUGCUUUCUGUUGGUUUCUUACAAGCUAACUGUUAACCUAUCCGUUCUCUGUGUUGCAAGGAAGGGCUGACAUUAGUUACAUUGUGUUAUUUUCUGAUUGCCACAGUUAUUGUUAUUAGAGGAAAUUCAUGUUACAGAACAACUAGAAAUGCUUUUGGUAUUUGAGUUUUA
RNA transcript from Ipomoea triloba (trilobed morning glory), 1391 nucleotides. It is a transcript of the gene named G2/mitotic-specific cyclin-1-like, with no coding region annotated. The record is from RefSeq and is a predicted model, not a curated record. The transcript is spliced from 8 exons. Lineage: Eukaryota; Viridiplantae; Streptophyta; Magnoliopsida; Solanales; Convolvulaceae.